UGCAGCCGCUUGCGGGUGGCCUGGCUGCUCUCCCCGUCUCAGCCCAAACACCACCAGUCGCCGAGCUGCGCUUUCCGCCGGCCUCCCUGAGCGUCCCGCCGUCGCCGGGGGCCAGGCCUGGCGCAGGACCAAUGUGGCGCAGCCCUGCUGUUGCUGGGGGGCGCCGGAGGCCUCCGUCCCUUGCCCAGGCUUCUGGCUCUCCAGGCUGCCUCCCUUCCGCCCACGCUCCAGGGCUUCCCCGGCUCCCGAGCUCCGAGCUUCCACCACAUCGGCCGGCUCAGGACAGAACCCAGAGUUGAUCUCUGCAGCAUGCCAUCACUGCUGGGGAUGAGGAAACGGUGAUUUCAGGACUGUUUUUUCUGUCUCUUCAGUGCCUCUUUCAGUGAUCUCAGGUUAAAACCAGACUAUGGAGGAUUCAUCACCAGACCAGGAAGCAACAGCCUGGGCUCCAGAGUUGGCCAGCAGUCCAUGCACAGACGAGGAGAGGUCCCAUGAACCUUCAGCGUGGUCUGGGAACCGAGCUCUUUUUGUAACAAGUUGUUUGUCAUGAGGCCCAGUCCUGAAGGCCCUUCGUGACUGGGC
RNAcentral lists this long non-coding RNA (582 nucleotides) under Homo sapiens (human). Its description in RNAcentral is "HSALNT0400596". The record is from RNAcentral. Lineage: Eukaryota; Metazoa; Chordata; Mammalia; Primates; Hominidae.